This 498-nucleotide ribosomal RNA is filed under the name uncultured bacterium. RNAcentral's name for it is "partial 16S ribosomal RNA". It matches the Rfam family "Bacterial small subunit ribosomal RNA", at positions 30 to 523 of the family's 1533-position model. The record is from RNAcentral.
AUUGAACGCUGGCGGCAUGCCUUACACAUGCAAGUCGAACGGUAACAGGUCUUCGGAUGCUGACGAGUGGCGAACGGGUGAGUAUUGCAUCGGAACGUGCCCAGUUGUGGGGGAUAACUGCUCGAACGAGCAGCUAAUACCGCAUACGACCUGAGGGUGAAAGCGGGGGAUCGCAAGACCUAGCGCAAUUGGAGCGGCCGAUGUCAGAUUAGGUAGUUGGUGGGGUAAAGGCCUACCAAGCCGACGAUCUGUAGUUGGUCUGAGAGGACGACCAGCCACACUGGGACUGAGACACGGCCCAGACUCCUACGGGAGGCAGCAGUGGGGAAUUUUGGACAAUGGGCGCAAGCCUGAUCCAGCAAUGCCGCGUGCAGGAAGAAGGCCUUCGGGUUGUAAACUGCUUUUGUCAGGGAAGAAAUCCUCUGGGUUAAUACCCCGGGGGGAUGACGGUACCUUGCGAGAAAGCCACGGCUAACUACGUGCCAGCCGCCGCGGUAA